RNAcentral lists this ribosomal RNA (468 nucleotides) under uncultured bacterium. RNAcentral describes it as "partial 16S ribosomal RNA". It matches the Rfam family "Bacterial small subunit ribosomal RNA", at positions 28 to 507 of the family's 1533-position model. The record is from RNAcentral.
GACGAACGCUGGCGGCGUGCUUAACACAUGCAAGUCGAACGGAAAGGCCCUGCUUUUGUGGGGUGCUCGAGGGGCGAACGGGUGAGUAACACGUGAGUAACCUGCCCUUGACUUUGGGAUAACUUCAGGAAACUGGGGCUAAUACCGGAUAGGAGCUCCUGCUGCAUGGUGGGGGUUGGAAAGUUUCGGCGGUUGGGGAUGGACUCGCGGCUUAUCAGCUUGGUGGUGGGGUAGUGGCUUACCAAGGCUUUGACGGGUAGCCGACCUGGGAGGGGGACCGGCCACAUUGGGACUGAGAGACGGCCCAGACGGCUACGGGAGGCAGCAGGGGGGAAUAUUGCACAAAGGGCGGAAGCCUGAUGCAGCAACGCCGCGUGCGGGAUGACGGCCUUCGGGUUAUAAACCGCUUUCGCCUGUGACGAAGCGUUAGUGACGGUAAUGGGUAAAGAAGCACCGGCUAACUACGUG